Molecule: unclassified non-coding RNA, 504 nt
Filed under: Artemisia dracunculus (tarragon)
Lineage: Eukaryota; Viridiplantae; Streptophyta; Magnoliopsida; Asterales; Asteraceae
Description: partial external transcribed spacer
Source: RNAcentral
UUCCUGACUUUCCCAUCGUUCGGGGCAUUCUGGGGCUGUUUUGGCUAUUGGUUGCUUGUUUGGUCUUGAGCUGAAUGGGUGGCUUCUAGUCUGGUGGCUUCGGGGAUGUUGACCGUAAAGGUGGAUGAGUGGUGUUUGGUUUGUUACGUGUGGUUGGCUGCGGCGUUUGCAACAACUUCCAUGCUNUCAGACCUCUUCAGUUGUGCGGCAAGGCUUGUAUCGCCUUGAGCGUAUUGUGGGUUUUCUGUGUUGGCUACCUAAUCAACGGUAUCGUUUGGAUUGAUCAAAGUUUGAUUUCGUCUUCCGUCGCGUUUGCGGCGUGAGGUGAACCUUGAUGCGGUCUCUUUGAUCCAUCUCGUCGAAGCACAUGCUUUGACGUUGUGGCACAUUGAGCAUUGCUUGGUGUCUUGUAUACGGAACACGUAGUGGGCAUGGAUCUAACGAUUCUUGUUUGCCCUCAUAUUAGCGUAACGCUUCUCUAACACGACUUGCACCACGUUUUAG